GUGGACAUCCAGACACAAACCAUAACAGUUCCCCAUUCCAAAGUAGGCUCGUGGAUGGCUCUACAUUUGACCUAACCUACAGCCGUGCAAGAAGGAACGGAAGGUCUUUCUCUCAUUUAACAGAUGAGGACCCUGGGGUUCCCAGGUUCAAUGAUUGCUUCUAACCACACCAAGAACAAAAGACAUUUUAGAAAUGCAGAUGGAUCUUUUCCUAACCGCCCCCCC
Molecule: long non-coding RNA, 225 nt
Filed under: Chinchilla lanigera (long-tailed chinchilla)
Lineage: Eukaryota; Metazoa; Chordata; Mammalia; Rodentia; Chinchillidae
Description: lncRNA (ENSCLAG00000023247.1)
Source: RNAcentral